CAAGUUAAAUGUGUUGAUGAAGUCUUCACCUGUGGUACUGUCUGGCCUUUGGUCACCAUCUCAUUCCCGACCUUCACUCUGGGGUAACACAGAGCUUUCAGCAUGUCAGCGGAGUUGAUGCCCAUGAGGUUCGGCCUGCUCCUCUCUCUGCUUCUGUUUGAACUUCAUGGCCCCAUGAUGCAUCACAGCACCUGUCAGCUUGUAGAUGCUGAUCUUCUCAUCAGCAGUGAAGCCCAGAAUGUCUAUAGCAGUCUGUUUUUACACAGACCAAAUAAAUCAAUGGUUUAUUGGAGUAUUUCAUACUGUCAUGCAGUAUUCAGUUCAAACUGGUGAUUUUCUGAUGUUUGUUUGCUCAGAAAUGUUGCAUAAAAUCUAAAAAUACUACUACUACUAAUAAUGAUAUUGCAGUUGUCCACAUACAUCUGUGGCAAUGAACUCCUCCACAUCAUCGAUGCUCUUGACAGUGAUUUCACCCUGGCUGAUCAUUGGAUAGUCGUAAGGGUUGGUGGAGAUGAGCAGGGCCUCUGUAAAGAGUUGAAGUGCAGUAUAUUGCCAGUGCUCUCAAACAUAGAAAUAAGUGAAAACACAAUCCUGUAGAUUUCUCACCGAGCAGCUCUGGCUUGUGUCCAGUCAUGAGCUGGUAGAAGAUGUGAUAGCUCCUCUCAGCAGACAGCUGGAAUGUUACCCUUGACUUUUCCAGCAGAUCUUUCCACGAAAAAAAAAGACAUUGUGUUUAAUUGAUUAACCCACAUCUUAGCCUUCAAAUAAAAUGUUUUUCUUAAAACAGUGUUGACUCACAAGUUUCAAUAUCUGCUUUGGCCAGUUUACCAGUGGUCCCAAAGUGAAUCCUGAUGAAUUUACCCUAGAUUGAAAUCAUUGAUAAAAGCUCAACUGUUUGCCUGCUUUGAAAUUGAAAAUGUAUGAUGUUAUUAAUGAUGAUUCAUAGGUGCAACUUACAAAACGAGAGGAGUUGUCGUUCCUUAUAGUCUUGGCGUUACCAUAAGCCUCCAGCAGAGGGUUGGCUGCAAUGAUCUGGUCCUCCAGAGAUCCCUAGAUGUAAUUGUAGCACAGUGGAGAGUCAGGAGGUGAAUCACAAACACUGUCAUCAAUAACAUCGUCUAGAAAAGGGAUUCACUAACCUGCAUUUUUCCAGAGGCAGACUCUGUCUUCUUUGGACCAGCCAUCGCAACAGUUGCAAAGUACUGAAUGACACGUUUUGUGUUCACAGUCUUUCCUGCACCGGAUUCUCCACUGGAGAUAUAUACCAGAUCAUCAUUUAAUCAUGAAUCUUUUACUGAUUUACAAUUAUAACUGAAAAACUUCAGGUUGUGUCAGCAGAAGAAUAUUUACUCACGUAAUCAGGAUAGACUGAUUCUCACGAUCUGAAAUUAAACCGUGAAAUGUUAACAGGAUUAACUUUUUCCUUUUAGCAUUGGUAUUGUUUUAAUAGGUGUCACCAUUUUUUUAAAUAUUCAUAUAAGUGCAUAUAGAAGAAGGUAACUUUUAAUACAAUAAUGUAAAAUAAUGGUUAUGAAGCACUCACUGACUGAACAUUAAUUUGUACUUUAUCACUCAGUUUCCU
Long non-coding RNA from Carassius auratus (goldfish), 1582 nucleotides. The record is from Ensembl. NCBI's taxonomy places the organism in Eukaryota, Metazoa, Chordata, Actinopteri, Cypriniformes, Cyprinidae.